AGCUCCAAUAGCGUAUAUUAAAGUUGUUGCAGUUAAAACGCUCGUAGUCGGAUUUCGGGGCGGCUUCGUCGGUCUGCCGAUGGGUAUGCACUGACGCGGGCGUCCUUCCUUCCGGAGACGCGUCCUACUCUUAGCUGAGCGGGGCGUGGAGACGGAUCGUUUACUUUGAAAAAAUCAGAGUGUUUCAAGCAGGCAUCAUCGCUCUUGCAUGGAUUAGCAUGGGAUAAUGAAAUAGGACCUUGGUGCUAUUUUGUUGGUUUCGAGCACCGAAGUAAUGAUUAACAGGGACAGUCAGGGGCACUCGUAUUCCGCCGAGAGAGGUGAAAUUCUCAGACCAGCGGAAGACGAACCACUGCGAAAGCAUUUGCCAGGGAUGUUUUCA
This 382-nucleotide ribosomal RNA is filed under the name uncultured eukaryote. RNAcentral describes it as "SSU rRNA". It matches the Rfam family "Eukaryotic small subunit ribosomal RNA", at positions 587 to 972 of the family's 1831-position model. The record is from RNAcentral.